Molecule: ribosomal RNA, 508 nt
Filed under: uncultured bacterium
Lineage: Bacteria
Description: partial 16S ribosomal RNA
Rfam family: Bacterial small subunit ribosomal RNA
Source: RNAcentral
GACGAACGCUGGCGGCGUGCCUAAUACAUGCAAGUCGAACGCUUCUUUCCUCCCGAGUGCUUGCACUCAAUUGGAAAGAGGAGUGGCGGACGGGUGAGUAACACGUGGGUAACCUACCCAUCAGAGGGGGAUAACACUUGGAAACAGGUGCUAAUACCGCAUAACAGUUUAUGCCGCAUGGCAUAAGAGUGAAAGGCGCUUUCGGGUGUCGCGUAGGGAUGGACCCGCGGUGCAUUAGCUAGUUGGGGAGGUAACGGCUCACCAAGGCCACGAUGCAUAGCCGACCUGAGAGGGUGAUCGGCCACACUGGGACUGAGACACGGCCCAGACUCCUACGGGAGGCAGCAGUAGGGAAUCUUCGGCAAUGGACGAAAGUCUGACCGAGCAACGCCGCGUGAGUGAAGAAGGUUUUCGGAUCGUAAAACUCUGUUGUUAGAGAAGAACAAGGACGUUAGUAACUGAACGUCCCCUGACGGUAUCUAACCAGAAAGCCACGGCUAACUACGUG